UACAGAGGGUGCAAGCGUUGUUCGGAAUCAUUGGGCGUAAAGGGCAAGUAGGUGGUUUAGUAAGUCGACUGUGAAAUCCCUGGGCUCAACCCAGGAACUGCGGUUGAUACUACUGAACUAGAGUGCUAGAGGGGUUCGUGGAAUUCUCGGUGUAGCGGUGAAAUGCGUAGAUAUCGAGAGGAAUAUCAGAGGCGAAGGCGACGGACUGGAUAGCAACUGACACUCAAUUGCGAAAGCGUGGGGAGCAAACAGG
This 253-nucleotide ribosomal RNA is filed under the name uncultured bacterium. RNAcentral's name for it is "partial 16S ribosomal RNA". It matches the Rfam family "Bacterial small subunit ribosomal RNA", at positions 524 to 776 of the family's 1533-position model. The record is from RNAcentral.